This 468-nucleotide ribosomal RNA is filed under the name uncultured bacterium. Its description in RNAcentral is "partial 16S ribosomal RNA". It matches the Rfam family "Bacterial small subunit ribosomal RNA", at positions 28 to 507 of the family's 1533-position model. The record is from RNAcentral.
GACGAACGCUGGCGGCGUGCUUAACACAUGCAAGUCGAACGGAAAGGCCCUGCUUUUGUGGGGUGCUCGAGUGGCGAACGGGUGAGUAACACGUGAGUAACCUGCCCUUGACUUUGGGAUAACUUCAGGAAACUGGGGCUAAUACCGGAUAGGAGCUCCUGCUGCAUGGUGGGGGUUGGAAAGUUUCGGCGGUUGGGAAUGGACUCGCGGCUUAUCAGCUUGUUGGUGGGGUAGUGGCUUACCAAGGCUUUGACGGGUAGCCGGCCUGAGAGGGUAACCGGCCACAUUGGGACUGAGAUACGGCCCAGACUCCUACGGGAGGCAGCAGUGGGGAAUAUUGCACAAUGGGCGGAAGCCUGAUGCAGCAACGCCGCGUGCGGGAUGACGGCCUUCGGGUUGUAAACCGCUUUCGCCUGUGACGAAGCGUGAGUGACGGUAAUGGGUAAAGAAGCACCGGCUAACUACGUG